UACGUAGGGUCCGAGCGUUAAUCGGAAUUACUGGGCGUAAAGCGUGCGCAGGCGGUUUUGUAAGGCAGAUGUGAAAGCCCCGGGCUUAACCUGGGAAUGGCAUUUGGGACUGCAAGGCUGGAGUACGGCAGAGGGAGGUGGAAUUCCACGUGUAGCAGUGAAAUGCGUAGAGAUGUGGAGGAACACCGAUGGCGAAGGCAGCCUCCUGGGCUAGUACUGACGCUCAUGCACGAAAGCGUGGGGAGCAAACAGG
Molecule: ribosomal RNA, 253 nt
Filed under: uncultured bacterium
Lineage: Bacteria
Description: partial 16S ribosomal RNA
Rfam family: Bacterial small subunit ribosomal RNA
Source: RNAcentral